GUAUGGGGCGAGCGUUGUUCGGAAUUAUUGGGCGUAAAGGGCGUGUAGGCGGUUCUGUAAGCUUGGUGUUAAAACUGCAGGCUUAACCUGUAGGUGGCGCUGGGAACUGCAGGACUAGAGUUCAGGAGGGGGAGCUGGAAUUCCUGGUGUAGGGGUGAAAUCUGUAGAUAUCAGGAAGAACACCGGUGGCGAAGGCGAGCUCCUAGCCAUGGACUGACGCUGAGGCGCGAAAGCGUGGGGAGCGAACAGGGAUUAGAUACCCUGGUAGUCCACGCUGUAAACGAUGUGCACUAGGCGUUGGGUGUGGAUGAAGCACUCGGUGCCGUAGCUAACGCGUUAAGUGCACCGCCUGGGAGUAUGCCCGCAAGGGUA
This 372-nucleotide ribosomal RNA is filed under the name uncultured organism. RNAcentral describes it as "partial 16S ribosomal RNA". It matches the Rfam family "Bacterial small subunit ribosomal RNA", at positions 527 to 896 of the family's 1533-position model. The record is from RNAcentral.